Molecule: long non-coding RNA, 1199 nt
Filed under: Malus domestica (apple)
Lineage: Eukaryota; Viridiplantae; Streptophyta; Magnoliopsida; Rosales; Rosaceae
Description: long non-coding RNA (MDOM_LNC002593)
Source: RNAcentral
CAUAUUAUGUGGUCAUGAGGAUCCCCACCAUUUGCUCAGGAGGGGAUCCAAUUCCGGAUUAUAAUAUGACCUCUCUCGAAGGCUUUUUUUUUUGUGGAACCGGAUCCUCUUCUGAGCAUUGUAAACUGAGCCCCCUGAGCAAAAGAUAUGGGUCUUUGAAAUUUAAUCCAAUGACUGCAAUUAUUAUAACUUUAAAGGAGUUUCAUGUUUGUAGCCGUUAGAUCAAAUUUUAACAACUCAGAUCAUUUGCUUAUGAGGCUCAGUUUACAAUGCUCGGUUCCUUUUUUUUGUUACAAUUUCUUAAAUAUAUUUUGCUACAAGUUCCGAAAGAUAAAAGGCUGGCGUCAGUAGAAGCCAUUCAAGCCAAGAGUCAUGGUCAUGGGCUACAAGAUGAAAACAUUUGUCAACAUUACCAAAGCAUAACUUUAGACCGGGACUAAAGAAUCUCCACGUCUAAAAACAAAACCAUUUGAUUAAAAUGUUUUGUAUCAUUAAAAUGUUUUGUGAUUGUUUUUAGAACUACAUUGUCAUAGACAUUUCUAUUAGAUUUUAAGGAAUUAUUAAACUCUCAAGAGGCGUGUACUUUUUAUUUUUACAAGAAACAAUAGCCAAAUUUUAUUGAUCAACCAACACAAGAACAACCAGAAAGAGGUGUCAAAUCGGUAUGUUCUCCAAUUACUAAUAAUUUGAAUAGAGUUAAUGUGUACAAACAUACAAAGAUAGAAAAAGCUACAUGGCCACCACAUGAAAAUGAACAAUAGGAACCACUAGUGUAGAUCUACCACAAUAACGACAGACGUGACAGGCCAUCACCAGGAACACACAAAAUCAUCACCAAAAGGCUAGACCACGUCACCUGCUACAACGACACAAACAUCUACAACAAAACUAAACUAAUAUAAACUAAGAGAAAUAAUCCACCAAUCAGCUUCAUCUUCACAGUGAAUGUUAAACCGCCACCUUCAAUUCUAUAUAUAUCUGUAGUAACCACAUGCCAAACAAGGCGAGACAAUUUCAGAUUUGGAAAUAUAAGAUGGGACCGCUACAUAUUUGACUAGAUAAGGUUGUAUUGCCACAGAUCGGACCAAAUACGCCAUCUAAACCAUGUGAACCAUCAUACAAACAGGUUGAAAGGAUGAAUUCGGUCAACUGACAACCCAACACACCAAAGUGACGAGGAAUUUAGGGACGAGUUGAGC